AAUCAUAAUGGGGCUGUCCCCAGAAGUACAAUUUUUGCAUCAUAUGCACUUUCAAUUAACCCCUUUAUCGCCCAGUCUCAAACAAGACUACGGUGCCCAAUUAGUGGCCUUGUUUAAUGACUUCA
Thalassophryne amazonica is the source of this 125-nucleotide long non-coding RNA. RefSeq lists it as uncharacterized. The transcript is spliced from 3 exons. NCBI's taxonomy places the organism in Eukaryota, Metazoa, Chordata, Actinopteri, Batrachoidiformes, Batrachoididae. The record is from RefSeq and is a predicted model, not a curated record.